This 99-nucleotide small nucleolar RNA is filed under the name Hippocampus comes (tiger tail seahorse). RNAcentral describes it as "Small nucleolar RNA SNORA77 (ENSHCOG00000003245.1)". Lineage: Eukaryota; Metazoa; Chordata; Actinopteri; Syngnathiformes; Syngnathidae. The record is from RNAcentral.
ACAGACACACUCUCUUCUUCGCUGCUGACUCCAGCUCAGGACUUUUUCUGUCUGCUACAUAAACAUGCAGAGUAGGGUGGUCCAUUUUGGAAAAGUUUA